RNAcentral lists this ribosomal RNA (482 nucleotides) under uncultured bacterium. RNAcentral describes it as "partial 16S ribosomal RNA". It matches the Rfam family "Bacterial small subunit ribosomal RNA", at positions 30 to 507 of the family's 1533-position model. The record is from RNAcentral.
AUUGAACGCUGGCGGCAUGCUUUACACAUGCAAGUCGAACGGUAACAGGUCUUCGGAUGCUGACGAGUGGCGAACGGGUGCGUAAUACAUCGGAACGUGCCUAGUAGUGGGGGAUAACUACUCGAAAGAGUAGCUAAUACCGCAUGAGAUCUACGGAUGAAAGCAGGGGACCUUCGGGCCUUGUGCUACUAGAGCGGCUGAUGGCAGAUUAGGUAGUUGGUGGGGUAAAGGCUUACCAAGCCUGCGAUCUGUAGCUGGUCUGAGAGGACGACCAGCCACACUGGGACUGAGACACGGCCCAGACUCCUACGGGAGGCAGCAGUGGGGAAUUUUGGACAAUGGGCGAAAGCCUGAUCCAGCAAUGCCGCGUGCAGGAUGAAGGCCCUCGGGUUGUAUACUGCUUUUGUACGGAACGAAAAGCCUGGGGCUAAUAUCCCCGGGUCAUGACGGUACCGUAAGAAUAAGCACCGGCUAACUACGUG